CCCUUAGAUGUUCUGGGCCGCACGCGCGCUACACUGACGGAGGCAGCGAGCAUGUCCUGCGCCGAGAGGUGUGGGGAAUCUUGUGAGUCUCCGUCGUGCUGGGGAUAGAUGGUUGCAAUUGUCGAUCUUGAACGAGGAAUUCCUAGUAAGCGCGAGUCAUCAGCUCGCGCUGAUUACGUCCCUGCCCUUUGUACACACCGCCCGUCGCUCCUACCGAUUGAAUGCUCAGGUGAGCCAUUCGGACUUUCAUCAUGCUGGUUUCCAGUUUUGAUGAAGGAAAGUCUUGCGAACCUUAUCAUUUAGAGGAAGGAGAAGUCGUAACA
This 323-nucleotide ribosomal RNA is filed under the name uncultured eukaryote. Its description in RNAcentral is "partial 18S ribosomal RNA". It matches the Rfam family "Eukaryotic small subunit ribosomal RNA", at positions 1470 to 1796 of the family's 1831-position model. The record is from RNAcentral.